GAUGAACGCUGGCGGCGUGCCUAAUACAUGCAAGUCGAGCGAACAGACGAGGAGCUUGCUCCUCUGACGUUAGCGGCGGACGGGUGAGUAACACGUGGAUAACCUACCUAUAAGACUGGGAUAACUUCGGGAAACCGGAGCUAAUACCGGAUAAUAUAUUGAACCGCAUGGUUCAAUAGUGAAAGACGGUUUUGCUGUCACUUAUAGAUGGAUCCGCGCCGCAUUAGCUAGUUGGUAAGGUAACGGCUUACCAAGGCAACGAUGCGUAGCCGACCUGAGAGGGGGAUCGGCCACACUGGAACGUAGACACGGUCCAGACUCCUACGGGAGGCAGCAGUAGGGAAUCUUCCGCAAUGGGCGAAAGCCUGACGGAGCAACGCCGCGUGAGUGAUGAAGGUCUUCGGAUCGUAAAACUCUGUUAUUAGGGAAGAACAAAUGUGUAAGUAACUAUGCACGUCUUGACGGUACCUAAUCAGAAAGCCACGGCUAACUACGUG
Molecule: ribosomal RNA, 497 nt
Filed under: uncultured bacterium
Lineage: Bacteria
Description: partial 16S ribosomal RNA
Rfam family: Bacterial small subunit ribosomal RNA
Source: RNAcentral